AGCUUCGGCUUGUCAUAUUUUGGCUAUAUAUAUUUAAUUUCAAAGUAAGUAGUGAGUGAAAUUAAAUCUAUAUUGUAACCCAAGUAUAUCUAGGCAUAGAGUAAACUUGGGAAUACUAAAUAUGAAUAUCGACUAUGUCGAAUAAUCUUCUAGAUGGUAAUUCUGAUAAUGACAGUGUUUCAUCUAAAAGUCUUGACCAAAUUACGUGCCAGCAGUCGCGGUAAUACGUAGAAGACUAGUGUUAUUCAUCUUUAAUAGGUUUAAAGGGUACCUAGACUGCCUAACUAGCCUACAAUAAGGAACGGUUAGAGCUAGAGUUUUAUAUGAGGAGGGGAGUAUUGAUGGUGGAGAGAUGAAAUUUUUUUAUACCUUACAGACUGGUAGAGGCGAAAGCAACCUUUUAUCUAAAAACUGACGUUGAGGGACGAAGGCUUGGGUCACGAACAGGAUUAGAUACCCUAGUAGUCCUUGCAGACAAUUAUGAGUGCCAUAGGCUAGAUGAUUUUUUAGUUUAUAAAUGAAAGUGUAAGCAUUCCACCUCAAGAGUAAUGUGGCAACGCAGGAACUGAAACCAUUAGACCGUUUCUGAAACCAGUAGUGAAGUAUGUUAUUCAAUUCGAUGGCCCUCGAAAAACCUUACCACAACUUGAAUGUUAUCUAUUGUUUAUACUUUAGAUUUUACAAGCGUUGCACGGCUGUCUUCAGUUAAUGUCGUGAGAUUUUGGUUAGUUCCAUAAAAUUAACGAAAACCCUUGCUUUAUUUAUAAAAACCCCCUUUGAAAUAGAGCUGAUCGCCACUAUAUUGGAUAUGAUAAGA
Molecule: ribosomal RNA, 817 nt
Filed under: Naemacyclus culmigenus
Lineage: Eukaryota; Fungi; Ascomycota; Leotiomycetes; Helotiales
Description: mitochondrial SSU rRNA
Rfam family: Bacterial small subunit ribosomal RNA
Source: RNAcentral